AUUGAACGCUGGCGGCAGGCCUAACACAUGCAAGUCGAGCGGAUGAAGGGAGCUUGCUCCUGGAUUCAGCGGCGGACGGGUGAGUAAUGCCUAGGAAUCUGCCUGGCAGUGGGGGAUAACGUCUGGAAACGGGCGCUACUACUGCAUACGUCCUGAGGGAGAAAGUGGGGGAUCUUCGGACCUCACGCUAUCAGAUGAGCCUAGGUCGGACUAGCUAGUUGGUGGGGUAAAGGCCUACCAAGGCGACGAUCCGUAACUGGCCUGAGAGGAUGAUCAGUCACACUGGAACUGAGACGCGGACCUGGCUCCUGCGGGAGGCAGCAGUGGGGAAUAUUAGACAGUGGGCGGGAGCCUGAUACAGCCAUGCCGCGUGUGUGGAGAAGGUCUUCGGAGUGUAAAGCACUUUAAGUUGGGGGGAAGGGCAGUAAGUUAAUACCUUGCUGUUUUGACGGUACCAACAGAAGAAGCACCGGCUAACUUCGUG
Molecule: ribosomal RNA, 484 nt
Filed under: uncultured bacterium
Lineage: Bacteria
Description: partial 16S ribosomal RNA
Rfam family: Bacterial small subunit ribosomal RNA
Source: RNAcentral